Molecule: ribosomal RNA, 460 nt
Filed under: uncultured bacterium
Lineage: Bacteria
Description: partial 16S ribosomal RNA
Rfam family: Bacterial small subunit ribosomal RNA
Source: RNAcentral
CCUACGGGUGGCUGCAGUGAGGAAUAUUGGUCAAUGGGCGCUAGCCUGAACCAGCCAAGUAGCGUGAAGGAUGACUGCCCUAUGGGUUGUAAACUUCUUUUAUAUGGGAAUAAAGUGCAGUAUGUAUACUGCUUUGCAUGUACCUUAUGAAUAAGGAUCGGCUAACUCCGUGCCAGCAGCCGCGGUAAUACGGAGGAUCCGAGCGUUAUCCGGAUUUAUUGGGUUUAAAGGGAGCGUAGGCGGGUUGUGAAGUCAGUUGUGAAAGUUUGCGGCUCAACCGUAAAAUUGCAGUUGAUACUGGCAUCCUGGAGUGCAGUAGAGGUAGGCGGAAUUCGUGGUGUAGCGGUGAAAUGCUUAGAUAUCAGGAAGAACUCCGAUUGCGAAGGCAGCCUGCUGGACUGUAACUGACGCUGAGGCACGAAGGCGAGGGGAGCGAAAGGGAUUAGAUACCCUUGUAGUC